GCCCUCGUGGUGUAGUGGUCAGCACGCUCGACGCGUAACCGAGAGGUCCGUGGUUAGAUUCCCGGCGAGGGCU
Molecule: transfer RNA, 73 nt
Filed under: Stegodyphus mimosarum
Lineage: Eukaryota; Metazoa; Arthropoda; Arachnida; Araneae; Eresidae
Rfam family: tRNA
About the family: Transfer RNA (tRNA) molecules are approximately 80 nucleotides in length.
Source: Rfam by way of RNAcentral